AGAGUUUGAUCCUGGCUCAGAUUGAACGCUGGCGGCAUGCCUUACACAUGCAAGUCGAACGGCAGCACGGGAGUAAUCCUGGUGGCGAGUGGCGAACGGGUGAGUAAUAUAUCGGAACGUGCCCAGUCGUGGGGGAUAACGCAGCGAAAGCUGUGCUAAUACCGCAUACGAUCUCUGGAUGAAAGCGGGGGACUCAGUAAUGGGCCUCGCGCGAUUGGAGCGGCCGAUAUCAGAUUAGCUAGUUGGUGGGGUAAAAGCCCACCAAGGCGACGAUCUGUAGCUGGUCUGAGAGGACGACCAGCCACACUGGAACUGAGACACGGUCCAGACUCCUACGGGAGGCAGCAGUGGGGAAUUUUGGACAAUGGGCGAAAGCCUGAUCCAGCAAUGCCGCGUGCAGGAUGAAGGCCUUCGGGUUGUAAACUGCUUUUGUACGGAGCGAAACGGUCCACUUUAAUACGGUGGGCUAAUGACGGUACCGUAAGAAUAAGCACCGGCUAACUACGUGCCAGCAGCCGCGGUAAUACGUAGGGUGCGAGCGUUAAUCGGAAUUACUGGGCGUAAA
This 565-nucleotide ribosomal RNA is filed under the name uncultured bacterium. Its description in RNAcentral is "bacterial SSU rRNA". It matches the Rfam family "Bacterial small subunit ribosomal RNA", at positions 8 to 564 of the family's 1533-position model. The record is from RNAcentral.